CUAUAAGACGUGAGGCUUGUACUAACAAACACCAGUGUGUUUUUCAUCUGGGUCAAGAGGACGCAGGCUUCCCACCUCCAAGUGGAGCUUGUAGACCCCACAUCAGUUGGACCUGAAAGUUGAUGAUGUGGACUCCUAUUUACCUCAGCACCAACCCACUGGAAGAAUGUCUACAUUGGCUACAAUGUCUACAGUCCAUGGAGUCACAGAGUCAGACAUGACUGAUCGACUAAGCACCUUAGCACGUUCUAAAAGGGCUUCCCUGGUGGCUCAGCAGUAAAGAAUCUGCCUGCAAUGCCCGAGACCCGGCUUCGAUCCCUGGGUUGAGAAGAUCCCCUAGAGGAGGGCAUGGCAACCGACUCCAAUACUCUGGCCUAGAGAAUCCCAUGGGCAGAGGCACCUGGCCGACUGUAGCCCAUAGGAUCACACAGAGUUGGACACGACUGAAGCAACUAAGCAGCAGCAGAAGGCCAAGGCUUCAGAGAGAAAUACUUAAUAAUUAGUAUGUUAAAUUUCAUGGGAUUUCUAAAAAUCUGGUAUGCCCCAGUAAAAUGUUAUCUCAUUGUUUUCUAGUUGUUUUAAAAUGUUGCAUGUCAUAAUAACUCAGUUUAUUUUGUCAAUCCCAUUGUGGCCAAAUGUUUAUGACUUUUUAAAUUCCUUUUUAAAGUCUUUCUGUGAUUUAUAGAUGGCUAUUGUUGUAUUCAUGUAUAUUCAUGUAUGGACAUGAAUUUGAGCAAACUCCAGGAGAUAGUGGAGGACAGAGGAGCCUGGCAUGUUGAAGGCCAUGGGGUCGAAACAAGCUGGACGUAACUCAGGGACUGAACAACAACAACACUGUUGUAGUCUGUUAAAUCUCAGGUUAUACUGGGGAACUAGGUAAGGAAGAAAGUCCUAAGGGAAAGCCUGAUCGCUUCAUACAAAGUUAAAAACAGGAUUGGUUACUAAAUGGACUGUAAAUUAUGGUGAUAAAUUUAUGGGUUUUAUCUGAAAUGUCACUGAUUUUAACUCAUGUUUUCCAG
Bos taurus (domestic cattle) is the source of this 1019-nucleotide long non-coding RNA. Lineage: Eukaryota; Metazoa; Chordata; Mammalia; Artiodactyla; Bovidae. The record is from Ensembl.